GGUCCGCUGGUGUAAUUGGUAAACACAACGCACCUGGCCUUUGACAUAGACAUUAACCCGGUCGCUAGUCUGGGAAAUUUCAGGAUAUCGCCGGUUCGAAUCCGGUGCGGGCCA
Non-coding RNA from Sordaria macrospora k-hell, 114 nucleotides. NCBI's taxonomy places the organism in Eukaryota, Fungi, Ascomycota, Sordariomycetes, Sordariales, Sordariaceae. The record is from Rfam.